AGCUGGGUGGCUCAGUCAGUUGAGCGUCUGACUUCGGCUCAGGUCAUGAUCUCAUGGUUUGUGGUUCGAGCCCACGUCAGGCUC
RNAcentral lists this transfer RNA (84 nucleotides) under Felis catus (domestic cat). It matches the Rfam family "tRNA". Rfam says of the family: Transfer RNA (tRNA) molecules are approximately 80 nucleotides in length. Their secondary structure includes four short double-helical elements and three loops (D, anti-codon, and T loops). The record is from Rfam by way of RNAcentral. Lineage: Eukaryota; Metazoa; Chordata; Mammalia; Carnivora; Felidae.